UACGUAGGCAGCGAGCGUUGUUCGGAGUUACUGGGCGUAAAGAGUGCGUAGGCGGUCAGCCAAGUUUGGUGUGAAAUCUCCCGGCUCAACUGGGAGGGUGCGCCGAAAACUGGUUGGCUAGAGUAUGGGAGAGGAAAGCGGAAUUCCUGGUGUAGCGGUGAAAUGCGUAGAUAUCAGGAGGAACACCUGUGGUGUAGACAGCUUUCUGGACCAAAACUGACGCUGAGGCACGAAAGCGUGGGUAGCAAACAGG
Molecule: ribosomal RNA, 253 nt
Filed under: uncultured bacterium
Lineage: Bacteria
Description: partial 16S ribosomal RNA
Rfam family: Bacterial small subunit ribosomal RNA
Source: RNAcentral